AUGUCUUGGUACAGUAGGACAUUUUCAUGGCUUGGGUUCAUCAGUUGGCGGGUGGUGCAGAGGAAAAACCAAUUGUUAGGAGGCAUCAUUAUAGUUCACAUGUUUCCUUACCGAUCCCAGUUCUUGCCCUGUGAUUAUUUUGUCAUGAAGCUUAUCUUGGCUAUCAAACCAUGGACCGUCAUCCGAGCUCCUCCUCCUCCUCCUACUCAGCAUUUCCAACAUAACCGUGCCACAGCGAGGCUCAGAAGCUGCUUGGAAUCUUCUCAAGACCAGGACGUCUUUACUAACAAAAAUAUCUUACUCACCAUGAUGGUUCUGUGGUUCCCGUGCAACAGAGAAGGAUGGCCAGAGCCUUGUUAUCUUUGGUUCUCUGGCCAAUAUGUAAAGAAUGCAAACUAG
This 399-nucleotide ribosomal RNA is filed under the name Triticum aestivum (bread wheat). RNAcentral's name for it is "partial small subunit ribosomal RNA". The record is from RNAcentral. Lineage: Eukaryota; Viridiplantae; Streptophyta; Magnoliopsida; Poales; Poaceae.